This 254-nucleotide ribosomal RNA is filed under the name Klebsiella pneumoniae. Its description in RNAcentral is "partial 23S ribosomal RNA". It matches the Rfam family "Bacterial large subunit ribosomal RNA", at positions 2569 to 2822 of the family's 2925-position model. The record is from RNAcentral. Lineage: Bacteria; Pseudomonadati; Pseudomonadota; Gammaproteobacteria; Enterobacterales; Enterobacteriaceae.
GGGUAUGGCUGUUCGCCAUUUAAAGUGGUACGCGAGCUGGGUUUAGAACGUCGUGAGACAGUUCGGUCCCUAUCUGCCGUGGGCGCUGGAGAAUUGAGGGGGGCUGCUCCUAGUACGAGAGGACCGGAGUGGACGCAUCACUGGUGUUCGGGUUGUCAUGCCAAUGGCACUGCCCGGUAGCUAAAUGCGGAAGAGAUAAGUGCUGAAAGCAUCUAAGCACGAAACUUGCCCCGAGAUGAGUUCUCCCUGAGACU